ACUGAUUCGUUUCUUCCUUUUGCAUACCAAUUUUUCUUUUUCCUUAUUUUCUCCUUCGUUCUCUCCUCUUUAUUCCAUCCCUUUGGUCUAUACAAUAGUCGUUCCCCACUUUCAUCAGCUUCUUUUCGUAGGAGAAAGAAAAUAAGAAAAAAGAAAAAUUGGUAUGCAAAAGGAGGAAACGAAUCAGU
This is a non-coding RNA of Paramuricea clavata, 188 nucleotides long. The record is from the annotation of a GenBank genome assembly. Lineage: Eukaryota; Metazoa; Cnidaria; Anthozoa; Malacalcyonacea; Plexauridae.